AAUGAACGCUGGCGGCAAGCCUAACACAUGCAAGUCGAACGGGGUUAUAUAUAGCUUGCUAUAGUGUAGCCUAGUGGCAGACGGGUGAGUAAUGUAUAGGAAUCUACCUAGUAGUACGGAAUAAUUACUGGAAACGGCAACUAAUACCGUAUACGCCCUAUGGGGGAAAGAUUUAUUGCUAUUAGAUGAGCCUAUAUUAGAUUAGCUAGUUGGUAGGGUAAUGGCCUACCAAGGCUAUGAUCUAUAGCUGAUCUGAGAGGAUGAUCAGCCACACUGGAACUGAGAUACGGUCCAGACUCCUACGGGAGGCAGCAGUGGGGAAUAUUGGACAAUGAGCGGAAGCUUGAUCCAGCUAUGCCGCAUGAGUGAAGAAGGCCUUUGGGUUGUAAAGCUCUUUCAGUGAGGAAGAUAAUGACGGUACUC
Molecule: ribosomal RNA, 423 nt
Filed under: uncultured Wolbachia sp.
Lineage: Bacteria; Pseudomonadati; Pseudomonadota; Alphaproteobacteria; Rickettsiales; Anaplasmataceae
Description: bacterial SSU rRNA
Rfam family: Bacterial small subunit ribosomal RNA
Source: RNAcentral